RNAcentral lists this unclassified non-coding RNA (354 nucleotides) under soil metagenome. RNAcentral's name for it is "partial contains 5.8S ribosomal RNA, internal transcribed spacer 2, and large subunit ribosomal RNA". The stretch from base 1 to 120 matches the Rfam family "5.8S ribosomal RNA", at positions 35 to 154 of the family's 154-position model. The record is from RNAcentral.
GAUGAAGAACGUAGCGAAAUGCGAUAAGUAGUGUGAAUUGCAGAAUUCAGUGAAUCAUCGAAUCUUUGAACGCACAUUGCGCCUCCUGGUAUUCCGGGAGGCAUGCCUGUUCGAGCGUCAUUAAAAUCACUCAAGCUUAGGUUUACCUAUUGCUUGGUCUUGGAGAUGGAAGCCAAUUCAUUGGAAUCCUCUUCGAAAUCCAAUGGCGAAGACCCUUGCUCUCCCAAGUGUAGUAAUAACUUAUGUCACUGAAGGAAGCGAGAAAUCUUCCGCCGUAACCCCCAUAUUUUCUAUGAUUGACCUCGGAUCAGGGAGGGAUACCCGCUGAACUUAAGCAUAUCAAUAAGCGGAGGA